AUACGGAGGGGGCUAGCGUUGUUCGGAAUUACUGGGCGUAAAGCGUACGUAGGCGGACUGAUCAGUUGGGGGUGAAAUCCCAGGGCUUAACCCUGGAACUGCCUUCAAUACUGUCAGUCUUGAGUUUGGGAGAGGUGAGUGGAAUUCCUAGUGUAGAGGUGAAAUUCAUAGAUAUUAGGGGGAACACCAGUGGCGAAGGCGGCUCACUGGCCCAUUACUGACGCUCAGGUACGAAAGCGUGGGGAGCAAACAGGAUUAGAAACCCUAGUAGUCC
RNAcentral lists this ribosomal RNA (274 nucleotides) under uncultured bacterium. RNAcentral describes it as "partial 16S ribosomal RNA". It matches the Rfam family "Bacterial small subunit ribosomal RNA", at positions 523 to 796 of the family's 1533-position model. The record is from RNAcentral.